UGCUCCGGAACCCCAGGCUGGGCCACGUGGCUGCGUUCUGUCCCAGCUGGCGGGCUUUGGGCUCUGAAGGGAGAGAGUAAGAAGGUCUCAACUUGGACCAGCUGAGGCUUGACCGCCGACCUCUCGCCCUCUACACACGGAAAAAUAUAUUCAUUCUCCUUCCAGAAAAGAGUGACACCCAAAAGUCUCAACCCAUCAUGACUUCAGGGUCAAAGUAUUGUAUCUCAUGAUAAUUUCUGCGUUUUGUUCAGAUAGGACUCCUCUUGAAACAGAGACUAAUGAACUUAAAAAAAAAACAAAUGUUUUCCACUGCUGCCCACAUCUAUACUAAUAUGAAGUAAUUGAACAAGGCCGGGAUGAACAUUUUCAUUCAUCAAAAGAAAGAAUGGAAGGCAUACAACCAUCGCUGGUUCUUGGAAUUUGGAAAUCCUGCUGAACAUUCCAGUUCAUCUCCUUGGCCACAGGAAUUCGUUCAGGAAUGGAUCCCUGACCCAAGCUGAACCAAUGAAAGUUUCCUACCUCCUUGUGAGAAGUUACUUUGCUUUCUUGGGAGAAAGUCACGGGAAGAGGUAGCCUCUCUCCCCUGCGCCCCCCGCCCCCCCCGCCCCUGCCGCCACCUCUCAAUGUGAGCAUGAAAGUAUAUAGCUCUGAUUGUUGAUAGCCACAUUCUGAACCAUGAAGGAAGCCAGCCUGAGGAUGAAGUUCACACUGUAAAUGGCAGGGCAGAAGAAUAGGGACAGCCUGGGUCCUUGAUAACAUUAUUGAGCUUCUGGAUCAGCCAGCCCUGGGCACUUACUAUUAUAUGUACCAAUAUAUCCUUUUAGUUUAACAUGGUUUCAACCAUAUUGCUGUUACUGGCAAUUAAAGCAUCCUACUUUUUUCUUUUCUCUCUAGGGCCACACCUGCGGCAUAUGGAAG
Phacochoerus africanus (Common warthog) is the source of this 918-nucleotide long non-coding RNA. RefSeq lists it as uncharacterized. The transcript is spliced from 3 exons. The record is from RefSeq and is a predicted model, not a curated record. Lineage: Eukaryota; Metazoa; Chordata; Mammalia; Artiodactyla; Suidae.